AGAGUUUGAUCCUGGCUCAGAUUGAACGCUGGCGGCAUGCCUUACACAUGCAAGUCGAACGGCAGCGGGGACUUCGGUCCGCCGGCGAGUGGCGAACGGGUGAGUAAUAUAUCGGAACGUACCUUUCAGUGGGGGAUAACGUAGCGAAAGUUACGCUAAUACCGCAUAUUCUGUGAGCAGGAAAGCAGGGGAUCGCAAGACCUUGCGCUGAUUGAGCGGCCGAUAUCAGAUUAGCUAGUUGGUGAGGUAAAGGCUCACCAAGGCGACGAUCUGUAGCGGGUCUGAGAGGAUGAUCCGCCACACUGGAACUGAGACACGGUCCAGACCCCUACGGGAGGCAGCAGUGGGGAAUUUUGGACAAUGGGGGCAACCCUGAUCCAGCCAUGCCGCGUGAGUGAAGAAGGCCUUCGGGUUGUAAAGCUCUUUCGGCCGGGAAGAAAUCGCACGGGCUAAUACCCUGUGUGGAUGACGGUACCGGAAUAAGAAGCACCGGCUAACUACGUGCCAGCAGCCGCGGUAAUACGUAGGGUGCGAGCGUUAAUCGGAAUUACUGGGCGUAAAGCGUGCGCAGGCGGUUUAGUAAGACAGGCGUGAAAUCCCCGGGCUCAACCUGGGAACUGCGCUUGUGACUGCUAAGCUAGAGUACGGCAGAGGGGGGUGGAAUUCCACGUGUAGCGGUGAAAUGCGUAGA
This 691-nucleotide ribosomal RNA is filed under the name uncultured bacterium. RNAcentral describes it as "bacterial SSU rRNA". It matches the Rfam family "Bacterial small subunit ribosomal RNA", at positions 8 to 694 of the family's 1533-position model. The record is from RNAcentral.